GGGGCCAAGCGACGACGGUUCGUCAUCGUGAUAUCGCCCGGACUCAUAAUCCGGCCGUCGUCGGUUCGAGCCCGACCCGCCCCACCA
RNAcentral lists this transfer RNA (87 nucleotides) under Actinomycetota bacterium. RNAcentral's name for it is "Actinobacteria bacterium tRNA-Ile". The record is from RNAcentral. Lineage: Bacteria; Bacillati; Actinomycetota.